AGAGUUUGAUCAUGGCUCAGAUUGAACGCUGGCGGCAUGCCUUACACAUGCAAGUCGAACGGCAGCGCGGGAGCAAUCCUGGCGGCGAGUGGCGAACGGGUGAGUAAUACAUCGGAACGUGCCCAAUCGUGGGGGAUAACGCAGCGAAAGCUGUGCUAAUACCGCAUACGAUCUACGGAUGAAAGCAGGGGAUCGCAAGA
RNAcentral lists this ribosomal RNA (200 nucleotides) under uncultured bacterium. Its description in RNAcentral is "partial 16S ribosomal RNA". It matches the Rfam family "Bacterial small subunit ribosomal RNA", at positions 8 to 207 of the family's 1533-position model. The record is from RNAcentral.